RNAcentral lists this long non-coding RNA (2347 nucleotides) under Canis lupus familiaris (dog). RNAcentral's name for it is "lncRNA (ENSCAFG00000054214.1)". Lineage: Eukaryota; Metazoa; Chordata; Mammalia; Carnivora; Canidae. The record is from RNAcentral.
UUUUUUCUUUUUUUCUUUUUUUCUACUGGUUACUAUUGAGUUCCUGGAUGAUAACUUAUAAGUGCAGAGUUUAAAUAAACACUAAAGAGAAGCUCUAUUUGGAUUUUCUGGAGAAAAUUAUCCCAUUAUAAAAAAGAGGAACAUUUUUACUUCCUAAUACAACUGAUAGAAACAGGAAGCCUUCCCUCAUAGAAAGAAUGAGAGUGACAACUUUACUGCUUACUGAGAUUUUUCAAGUAGUAUAAUUCUGACUUUCAAGGAUAUAUAUCAUUAUUGUUGCACUAGCAUUUGAGUAUUGACUAUAUCAGCCACCAUGUUUAUUGCUCUACAUAAAUUAUCUCAUUUAAUUUUGAGAACAACUCCUUAUAGUACAUGCCAGUACUAUUCUCCUGUACGAGUCUUAAAGAGGACUUGGAAGCUACUCAAAGCCACAAAUCUAUUGAGAAGUGUAGCAAGGCAUCCAAUCACAAAUAUUCGGAUUCCAAAUCCAUUAGUCUGAACCAUUAUGAUGCAUUGUCUCCCAUUCUGCAGCAAUGUAUAUAGAUGCAAAGAGAAAGGCUUAACAAAGAGAGACAAAGAUAAGAAUAUCCAGUUAUUCAAGCUGUCUUUAUUUACAAAUCUGAUUAAAGGCUACUGUACAGUGUUAAAUUGUUUUUACUCUUUGAUAACUCUGCUUCAAGAAAUCUAGUUUCAGUUUGCCAGGUAACCAAAGACUACAAAUGUAUGCUGUGAAAAUAAUUUUAGAUAUUUGGAAGUUGUUGGAAACGGCCACAUUCUUAGUUGUAAACUACCAAUCUUUUUUUUUUUUUUUUUUAACAAGGUAAUAAUCCUGUUGAUAUUUUCUUUGGAAUGUGAUAUACUUCAAAAGGAGAGCAAAGUUAAAAUUUAAGUUUCUCAUACACUAUGUCUAGAUUUAUUGAAAUUCCUCUUUGUAGCCAAGUGAGAAUUUAGCUAUAAUCAUGUGCUGAAAAAAGGCUGCAGGUUUUUGAGUCUAGUAUUGUUAUGUUAAAAUGUUUAGGUCCAUUUUCAUGACUAUAAUUAAAAAUAUAUAUUAAAAAAUUAAGAAGUUUCAACUGCAAUUAACUGUGGCUCAGAGCAUAAGGCAGUGAAGGAUUUCUUGUUCUUGUGUAAAUGUUGAAUAAAUGUUGAAUUCCUUGGGGAAAUAACUUGAAUAUCCAUUGAUCUUACUAGUACAGUAAUUAAAUAUAUUCCCUACGGAAAUAUACUUUAGUGUAUUGAGAAGUUGCUUAUUGUCUGUGCAUCUUGAGCCAGGUAUCUAUUUUCUGGUUGUUAGCCCUGGGAUUGCUCACUGUCCCUACCAUUAUUACCUACAGAUGAAGGAGCUAUGUCUUCUUUUUCUCUUUGAAGUUCAUCUGUUUUUCCCUAAACAUCCUUUCUGCUAUUCUUAACAAUCAUGAUUUUUAGAGAAAAGGGAAAACACAAAAUAUAGUGUUUUUAGGAUUUAUAUUAGCAUUUACCAAGGAAUUUCCACUGAUAUUAAUGAUGGGAAUUUUAAAAACUAUUUAAAAGUUCUUAAUAGUGCUAAAUGAUUUCCCCAAAUGAGAGUAUGUGUCUGCAUUAUUCUUCCUUUUCAUUCCCCUGUUGUAUCCUAUCUCUAAAGACUUUCUAUUAACUCUGUUAUAACUACUACUGGGAGAAGGGCAUUGAUAAAAAGAUGCAUUCCUUCCUUCUUGAUUUCAUAUUCUAUUAUCUAACAUUCAUCAGUUUUCCUAUAUUCCCGGAGCAUAGAUCCUCUGGCAAUAAGAGGUCAUUUAACAUUUAACAUCAUGAUUAUUAAAUGCUGAGUUGAUAUAGGCUUUUAUUCUAAUACCAUACUUCUUAUCUAAAUUGUUUGUGUUACCCCAUAAUAGGAAGCCUUCAAUACAGAAUUGAUUAUUGAAUGCUGAAAAUUUAUGACAAGCACCAGCAAUGUAAUACAUCCCUGCUUUUGGGGAUAUUACAAAGUGGAUAAAGAUAUGGAUUGGGGAAUAUGAAAGUACAGUGGAAUUAAAUAAGUGUAAUCAAGAGAAAAGUAAAUGAGAAAUUCUGUAGGAGGAACUCCUCUUUUAGGAGAGAUGGCCUUUUGGAGGAAUAUCUAAAAGAGCCUUUCAUCAGAAGAGUAAGAGAGAGUGUAUAAUUUGGAAAGCCUAUUGAAAAGGUUGAUGGCAGGGUAACAAAUGAGGACAUGAGAGAAUGUGCCACAAGAGGACAGAAUAUGUUCAAAAGCUUAUAAGACUUCUAGGUUUUACUCCAGGGCUUAGAAAGCUACAAAGAGCAUCCUAUCUACUCUUACAACAAGAACUUGGACAAACUGAAAAUUCAUGACUUUUUUUUAAUACACAUCAGG